GUUCAGUAAAAUUCAAAUCAAAUAGCAACAGAGUCCUUUGUGUUUAUGCAUCCGCUUGUAUUCCUGAGUCGUAUGUGUCACCAGCUUUCCAGUUUUCAGGUAUAUUAUUGACAGGAUCAACCCAUGUCUCAUCUUCAUCAUCAACACUCAAUAGCAUUCUGAUUUGCAGAGGUCCCCUUGGAGGUGAAGUAGUAGUCCACACUGCUCCACGUGUCCUAUCCAGCAGCUUACAUACAAAAUUUUGUGUCUCACAUAGUUGCACAGCUGUAAUAUCCUUUUUGCCUUGUUGAUACCAUAUCACAAAAGCCAAGUAAUGAGGAUUGUCGCUGCUCUCUUCAAUCUUGAUUGUAAUAUUUUUGUCCGGGUAGGUGCAUGAGACCCUUCUGUAUUCAAUAUCCACCACACCAAGUGGCAAUAUAGAAGCAGCAGCAUCUGUUGU
RNAcentral lists this unclassified non-coding RNA (439 nucleotides) under Hevea brasiliensis (rubber tree). The record is from RNAcentral. Lineage: Eukaryota; Viridiplantae; Streptophyta; Magnoliopsida; Malpighiales; Euphorbiaceae.